RNAcentral lists this non-coding RNA (29 nucleotides) under Macaca fascicularis (crab-eating macaque). RNAcentral also lists the same sequence under 1 other name. Lineage: Eukaryota; Metazoa; Chordata; Mammalia; Primates; Cercopithecidae. The record is from RNAcentral.
UCAAACCUGUUCAUUGGUGUCUCUGGAGA